AACUUAAUUUCCGAACAAUUAUUUCAAACAAAUAAGUUUUCGUGAAUGAUAUCAAAUCAAAUUUCGAAAUCUUUCUAAUUAAUGGCAUUACGAACCGCAGCUAUAAAAGUAAUUGCCAAAAUAAUUUCCCAAAUCAAUAUUGAGCCGUUACUACGACCAGCAACAUGAAGAACAUUUCUUUACUACUUUGCCUUUCGAUAGGAAUUCAGUCUUGCAUUUCUGCAACGGUAGAAGACGCAGAAACGCAAUUAAAAUUCCUUCGAGAGAAAACCUCAAAUAAAUUAGAAACGGCGUUUUUAAACCAGACAAGAAUGUCAAAUGAUAUUGAUGCAACCGCUCUUGCCGCUAAACAAUACGGAAGAAUGGAAAUUGAAAAGAAAACAGACAAAUACAACGCUAAGCUUCAAGCAGACAAAGCUUUAAUAUACAGAUGUCGAGGCUCACGGAAACACAUCUACGAACACACGAAAAACUCAAAUAUCGAAGAUUUAAUUCGCUGCGUUGAUCAACAGGGACGUCAGAGUGUUAACGUUUUGUCAGAGCAAAGACAGGGUUUGCAAAAGUACGUCUGGGACGCGAUUUACGAAGCUGAGAGGCAAAUUAUUGUUUGCGGUCAAUCUAGCAAGUGUCUUGAAGCUGCCGUUGCCGAUAUUAAAGAUAAGAUUGACGAAGUUUCCAAAGUGAUUGAUGCUGAACUUGACAUCAGUCAACAUAAUAAAGAGGUGCAAGUCCAGGUUAUUAAAGCUUGUGCUAGCAAUAGUAUCGCACAUGCUGAGCAAGUUUUCAGUACAAUUCCUACAUGUAACUAUUAAUUAAUUAAGUUUAUCACAAUAAAUUAAUUAUCUUAAU
This is an RNA transcript of Tribolium castaneum (red flour beetle), 849 nucleotides long. RefSeq lists it as hypothetical. The record is from RefSeq and is a predicted model, not a curated record. Lineage: Eukaryota; Metazoa; Arthropoda; Insecta; Coleoptera; Tenebrionidae. The transcript has 2 exons.